UGCUUGCUUCGGCAGCACAUAUACUAAAA
RNAcentral lists this small nuclear RNA (29 nucleotides) under Cervus elaphus hippelaphus. The record is from RNAcentral. Lineage: Eukaryota; Metazoa; Chordata; Mammalia; Artiodactyla; Cervidae.